Non-coding RNA from Potamilus streckersoni, 73 nucleotides. Lineage: Eukaryota; Metazoa; Mollusca; Bivalvia; Unionida; Unionidae. The record is from the annotation of a GenBank genome assembly.
GCUCUGGUGACCUAGUGGUUAGAGCGUCCGCCUCGGAAGCAGGAUGUUGCGGGUUCGAACCUCGGCCAAAUCA